Molecule: ribosomal RNA, 254 nt
Filed under: uncultured bacterium
Lineage: Bacteria
Description: partial 16S ribosomal RNA
Rfam family: Bacterial small subunit ribosomal RNA
Source: RNAcentral
UACGAGGGGGGCAAGCGUUGUUCGGAAUUACUGGGCGUAAAGGGCUCGUAGGCGGCCAACUAAGUCAGACGUGAAAUCCCUCGGCUUAACCGGGGAACUGCGUCUGAUACUGGAUGGCUUGAGUUUGGGAGAGGGAUGCGGAAUUCCAGGUGUAGCGGUGAAAUGCGUAGAUAUCUGGAGGAACACCGGUGGCGAAGGCGGCAUCCUGGACCAACACUGACGCUGAGUGAGCGAAAGCCAGGGGAGCAAACGGG